UGAAAUAAACAUUGCCAAAUAAAAAAAGAAUUAAAUGAUUGUUUAAUAAUUAUUAUAAAAAAAAAGAAAAAAGAAAAUGGAAUGCGCUGCUGUACUAGUCACAACGUGGGACCCACGGCCACGUACACAAUGACCUGCUGCGCCUCCAAUUAAUAUGUUAGAUAGUCAAAAUAAUGGGGCGCAAGGCACAUAAAUGAAACAAAGAAUUAAAAGCAAAAGGUA
This 222-nucleotide long non-coding RNA is filed under the name Lathyrus oleraceus (garden pea). RNAcentral describes it as "Pisum sativum (pea) long non-coding RNA (PSAT_LNC001547)". The record is from RNAcentral. Lineage: Eukaryota; Viridiplantae; Streptophyta; Magnoliopsida; Fabales; Fabaceae.